Mya arenaria is the source of this 1028-nucleotide long non-coding RNA. RefSeq lists it as uncharacterized. The record is from RefSeq and is a predicted model, not a curated record. NCBI's taxonomy places the organism in Eukaryota, Metazoa, Mollusca, Bivalvia, Myida, Myidae. The transcript is spliced from 4 exons.
UGGCGGCGAUUAUGCGGAAAUGAAAUUGAAUGUUACUUCGAACACGUUCUUCUACAAAAUAACCGACCUGUAUUUAGUGCUAUUGCUUUAACAUCAAUCGAAGCAAAAAUGGCAUCAAUGUAUGCGUCUAAAAAUGUUAAAUUUAGAUGGAGACAAUCCAGAAAUGAGCUGCCAGGAAGUGAUCGAUUUCGGACACGAAGAUUGAGAAGUGCCUGGAUACAAGGCUAGUAUUGUUAACAUCAUCUGAUACAAUCAACUGGAACAAAGCUGAAAUGGCUGCCUGACCUGACUUAAAAAUUGGAUGGCAGUACAUCAGACUAGAAGAUUACAAGUACUGAGGUGGACAAAAUGAAACCUGAGCCUACCAAAGCUGACAGAUUGCACAAGAAACACAUAAAUGCAGAUUGGAAGAUUCAUUCUCUGAAAAGUAGAAAAGGGCAUGUUACAUACUGUUAUCACUGCCAUGACAGAAACCAUAUUGAGGAGCUGGUCCACCUGUAGGAAGAAUUGCGUUAUUGGCUGGAGCAGCACUAUUACCCAGCCAUACACCAUCACUUAGUUUGUCAUAGGGAGCAUUUCUGAGCAGUUAUGGAGACCACUAACUAUGCAGUUGUUGCAGUGAAACUUAAACCAGUGUGUUUUCUGUGGAGAUAAAGAGAUAGUGUCCAGCAAUGAAGACCCAACUCAAGAUCUGACCUUGUAAGGCCAAUAUGAAAUAACUGUGUGGGAAAAUGGGAAAAACCUGCAGUCAGGAAUGCACGGAAAUCAUCAAAAGAACAGUGUUAAAUUAAUCUUGAAUAACUUGACAUUUAUUUUGUUUGACAUAUUUAUUCAUGGUGCAGUGAAAACAUUCUUUUUUUCUCAUGGUUAUUUAAAUUUAGAAUUGAUAGGAGGGAACAUCACUAUGUAGUUUCAUGUUCAUAGUCAGAUCAAAACCCAUGUACAUGGCCAAAUGAGCAUUCGAAAAUAUCAAAAUGGUACUUGUUGUAUGUCUGUCUGACAGUAGACCAAAGCUUUUCCGGGUGAUA